Long non-coding RNA from Sander lucioperca (pikeperch), 400 nucleotides. RefSeq lists it as uncharacterized. The transcript has 2 exons. The record is from RefSeq and is a predicted model, not a curated record. Lineage: Eukaryota; Metazoa; Chordata; Actinopteri; Perciformes; Percidae.
AAUCCUAAUAACCUCAUUUGACCCUUCUCCAUGUUCUAGCUGUACUUUGAAGAUGAGGAGAAGGAGACAUUCUACCAAGUAAACCCAGAGAUGUCGCUUUUAAAAGUGUUGCAGCAUAAAAGGUUUUUUGUCAAGGCAGGCACUCCCAGCUUUAUUGUUCUGGUGAAGGGUUCAUCAUUCAGGAAGCAGUUUUUAACAGAAAAGAAAAUAAAAGGAUUGUAAAAACCUGCAAAUCUUGGGACUUUCAAUACAAUAAAUUCUCUUUUCAACCCCAAAAGACUGAAUUUCCCCUUGAAAAAGACAUGAUGAUGAGAAAUAUGUAUGUCUCUAGUGGUCAAGAGCAUGACACAUUGUUUGACACCAAAUAUCAAAAUAAAAUAAAUCAGAUAAGAUCUCUAAA